Molecule: non-coding RNA, 142 nt
Organism: Podarcis lilfordi (Lilford's wall lizard)
Lineage: Eukaryota; Metazoa; Chordata; Lepidosauria; Squamata; Lacertidae
Source: the annotation of a GenBank genome assembly
UUUCCAGUAGCACCUUAGAGACCAACUAAGUUAGUUAUUGGUAUGAGCUUUCGUGUGCAUGCACACUUCUUCAGAUAAAUGUGUGCAUGCACACGAAAGCGCAUACCAAUAACUUAGUUGGUCUCUAAGGUGCUACUGGAAG